This 253-nucleotide ribosomal RNA is filed under the name uncultured bacterium. RNAcentral describes it as "partial 16S ribosomal RNA". It matches the Rfam family "Bacterial small subunit ribosomal RNA", at positions 524 to 776 of the family's 1533-position model. The record is from RNAcentral.
UACAGGGGGGGCAAGCGUUGUUCGGAAUUACUGGGCGUAAAGGGCUCGUAGGCGGCCAACUAAGUCAUACGUGAAAUCCCUCAGCUUAACUGGGGAACUGCGUGUGAUACUGGAUGGCUUGGAUUUGGGAGAGGGAUGCGGAAUUCCAGGUGUAGCGGUGAAAUGCGUAGAUAUCUGGAGGAACACCGGUGGCGAAGGCGGCAUCCUGGACCAAUAUUGACGCUGAGGAGCGAAAGCUAGGGGAGCAAACGGG